This 497-nucleotide ribosomal RNA is filed under the name uncultured bacterium. RNAcentral describes it as "partial 16S ribosomal RNA". It matches the Rfam family "Bacterial small subunit ribosomal RNA", at positions 28 to 507 of the family's 1533-position model. The record is from RNAcentral.
GAUGAACGCUGGCGGCGUGCCUAAUACAUGCAAGUCGAGCGAACAGACGAGGAUUUUGCUCCCCUGACGUUAUCGGCCGAGGGGUGAGUAACACGUGGAUAACCUACCUAUAAGACUGGGGUAACUUCGGGAAACCGUAGCUACUACCGGAUAAUAUAUUGAACCGCAUGGUUCAAUAGUGAAAGACGGUUUUGCUGUCAGUUAUAGACGGCCCCGGGCCGCAUUAGCUAGUUGGUAAGGUAACUGCUUACCAACGCUACGAUGCGUAUCCGACCUGAGAGGGAGAUCGGCGACACGGGAACUGAGACACGGCCGAGACACCUGCGGUGGGACGCAGUAGGGAAUCUUCCGCAAUGGGCCAAGGCCUGACGGAGGAACACCGGGUGAAGGAUGAAGGACUGCGGAUCGUAGAAUGCUGUUAUCAGGAAAGAACAAAUGUGUAAGUAACUAUGCACGUCUUGACGGUACCUGAACAAAAAGCCACGGCUAACUACGUG